This 497-nucleotide ribosomal RNA is filed under the name uncultured bacterium. Its description in RNAcentral is "partial 16S ribosomal RNA". It matches the Rfam family "Bacterial small subunit ribosomal RNA", at positions 28 to 507 of the family's 1533-position model. The record is from RNAcentral.
GAUGAACGCUGGCGGCGUGCCUAAUACAUGCAAGUCGAGCGAACAGAUGAGGAGCUUGCUCCUCUGACGUUAGCGGCGGACGGGUGAGUAACACGUGGAUAACCUACCUAUAAGACUGGGAUAACUUCGGGAAACCGGAGCUAAUACCGGAUAAUAUAUUGAACCGCAUGGUUCAAUAGUGAAAGACGGUUUUGCUGUCACUUAUAGAUGGAUCCGCGCCGCAUUAGCUAGUUGGUAAGGUAACGGCUUACCAAGGCAACGAUGCGUAGCCGACCUGAGAGGGUGAUCGGCCACACUGGAACUGAGACACGGUCCAGACUCCUAAGGGGGGCAGCAGUAGGGAAUCUUCCGCAAUGGGCGAAAGCUUGACGGAGCAACGCCGCGUGAGUGAUGAAGGUCUUCGGAUCGUAAAACUCUGUUAUUAGGGAAGAACAAAUGUGUAAGUAACUAUGCACGUCUUGACGGUACCUAAUCAGAAAGCCACGGCUAACUACGUG